Molecule: non-coding RNA, 219 nt
Organism: Desulfosporosinus sp. OT
Lineage: Bacteria; Bacillati; Bacillota; Clostridia; Eubacteriales; Desulfitobacteriaceae
Source: Rfam
UGAUUCCCGCUCGGUAAAGUUUAGCCAACCGCCGGUAGCCAGCUAGGUAACUAGAUGGUUUAAGCGUAGGCCGGUUAGGUAACGGGCCGAAAGCUCAUGAUGAAGAUAUUGAGCCUCGAAAUCCUAAAUGGGUUGGCCGAUGCUGUGAACCGAAGCAGAAGGCAAUAUUAUGGUAAUCGAUUUGGCAAGAUUACUAUGGCACCCCGAGGUCAUAGGUCU